RNAcentral lists this unclassified non-coding RNA (424 nucleotides) under soil metagenome. RNAcentral's name for it is "partial contains 5.8S ribosomal RNA, internal transcribed spacer 2, and large subunit ribosomal RNA". The stretch from base 1 to 120 matches the Rfam family "5.8S ribosomal RNA", at positions 35 to 154 of the family's 154-position model. The record is from RNAcentral.
GAUGAAGAACGCAGCGAAAUGCGAUAAGUAAUGUGAAUUGCAGAAUUCAGUGAAUCAUCGAAUCUUUGAACGCACCUUGCGCUCCCUGGUAUUCCGGGGAGCACGCCUGUUCGAGUGUCGCGAAAUUCUUCAAGCCUUGGAUGGAUUUUUUUUUUGUCUGUCCUUGGGCUUGGUUGUUGGGCUUUGCCGUGUCCUUCAUUGGGACGGCUGGCCUUAAAAGCAUUAGCCGAUCCUCGUGUGGUACUGGUUCUACUCAGCGUGAUAACAGUCUGAUCGUUGAGGACAUCUUCUGGAUGGCCAGUCAUCAUUUGGGUUGCUUCUAAACCGGUUUCGCAGAUUGCUCAAUCUGUGUGCCACUUUUCAGCUUUGACCUCGAAUCAGGUGGGACUACCCGCUGAACUUAAGCAUAUCAAUAAGCGGAGGA